CCUACGGGGGGCUGCAGUAGGGAAUCUUCCACAAUGGGCGCAAGCCUGAUGGAGCAACACCGCGUGAGUGAAGAAGGGUUUCGGCUCGUAAAGCUCUGUUGUUGGAGAAGAACGUGCGUGAGAGUAACUGUUCACGCAGUGACGGUAUCCAACCAGAAAGUCACGGCUAACUACGUGCCAGCAGCCGCGGUAAGACGUAGGUGGCAAGCGUUAGCCGGAUUUAGUGGGCGUAAAGCGAGCGCAGGCGGUCGCUUAGGUCUGAUGUGAAAGCCUUCGGCUUACCCGAAGAAGUGCAUCGGAAACCGGGCGACUUGCGUGCAGCAGCGGACAGUGGCACUCCCUGUGUCGCGGUGGAAUGCGUAUAUAUAUGG
RNAcentral lists this ribosomal RNA (371 nucleotides) under uncultured bacterium. RNAcentral describes it as "partial 16S ribosomal RNA". It matches the Rfam family "Bacterial small subunit ribosomal RNA", at positions 338 to 701 of the family's 1533-position model. The record is from RNAcentral.